AGAGUUUGAUCAUGGCUCAGAUUGAACGCUGGCGGCAUGCCUUACACAUGCAAGUCGAACGGCAGCGGGCCCUUCGGGGUGCCGGCGAGUGGCGAACGGGUGAGUAAUGCAUCGGAACGUACCCGGGAGUGGGGGAUAACCGGCCGAAAGGCUGGCUAAUACCGCAUGAACUCGGAAGAGCAAAGCGGGGGACCUUCGGGCCUCGCGCUCUCGGAGCGGCCGAUGUCCGAUUAGCUAGUUGGUGAGGUAAAGGCUCACCAAGGCGACGAUCGGUAGCGGGUCUGAGAGGACGAUCCGCCACACUGGGACUGAGACACGGCCCAGACUCCUACGGGAGGCAGCAGUGGGGAAUCUUGGACAAUGGGCGCAAGCCUGAUCCAGCAAUGCCGCGUGGGUGAAGAAGGCCUUCGGGUUGUAAAGCCCUUUCGGCGGGGAAGAAAUCGGCCGGGCGAAUAGUUUGGCUGGAUGACGGUACCCGCAGAAGAAGCACCGGCUAACUACGUGCCAGCAGCCGCGGUAAUACGUAGGGUGCGAGCGUUAAUCGGAAUUACUGGGCGUAAAGGGUGCGCAGGCGGCUGUGUAAGACCGGUGUGAAAUCCCCGGGCUCAACCUGGGAAUGGCGCUGGUGACUGCACAGCUCGAGUACGGUAGAGGGGGGUGGAAUUCCUGGUGUAGCAGUGAAAUGCGUAGAGAUCAGGAGGAACACCGAUGGCGAAGGCAGCCCCCUGGGCCUGUAC
RNAcentral lists this ribosomal RNA (737 nucleotides) under uncultured bacterium. Its description in RNAcentral is "bacterial SSU rRNA". It matches the Rfam family "Bacterial small subunit ribosomal RNA", at positions 8 to 740 of the family's 1533-position model. The record is from RNAcentral.